UAAGGAGACCUAAGCAUCGCUCCACUCACACCUAAAUAGAUAUAGUGAGGGAGCAAGAUGUUACUCCUAGGUCGGACAAGGAAAGCUGCGAUAAGUAAGUGGAGACUCUCUUACAGCCCCUGGUUAGCAAGAUUAGGGAUACGGGCUAUUAGCUCAGGUGGUUAGAGCGCACCCCUGAUAAGGGUGAGGUCCUUGGUUCAAGUCCAAGAUAGCCCAUGGAGGGGGUAUAGCUCAGCUGGUAGAGCGCUACCUUUGCACGGUAGAAGUCAGCGGUUCGAAUCCGCUUACCUCCACCAGAGGGAGUAAUUACCUAAGAUUGCCUAAUCGAAAAAGAAGGGAAAAGAUUCAGCAACAUUAUAAUGUCUAGAUAGAGUUUGUCUAGAUAGGUUAUUGGAUUGCUGGAGAUAAUCCAGAAAGGACCUUGAAAACUGCAUAGUGAGAGAAAAAGCAAGUAGAGCCGAAAGUAGGCAAGAUCAAAG
This 479-nucleotide transfer RNA is filed under the name Thalassoporum komareki TAU-MAC 1515. RNAcentral describes it as "partial contains 16S ribosomal RNA, 16S-23S ribosomal RNA intergenic spacer, and 23S ribosomal RNA". The stretch from base 221 to 293 matches the Rfam family "tRNA". The record is from RNAcentral. Lineage: Bacteria; Bacillati; Cyanobacteriota; Cyanophyceae; Pseudanabaenales; Thalassoporaceae.